RNA transcript from Salvia splendens (bonfire salvia), 1342 nucleotides. It is a transcript of the gene named nucleolin-like, with no coding region annotated. Lineage: Eukaryota; Viridiplantae; Streptophyta; Magnoliopsida; Lamiales; Lamiaceae. The transcript has 3 exons. The record is from RefSeq and is a predicted model, not a curated record.
UCUCCCUCAUUCUCUCCUCACACGCCUCUCUCCUCCCUCUCUUCAUUCUCUCCAAAAAUCCUCCAUUCAUCCUUGUUCUUGCAUCAAUUGGAGUUGAAACUUCAAGGUUCACCAAAGAAUCGCAUCAAUCUUUGUUUCUACCGUUCGUUUUGAUCAAGAAAGGGUUGUCGUGCAUACGUGAGCACAAGGAGCGAGAGUUACAUUGAAUUGUGUUUUGUGAUAUCUAAGCAAGCGAGAAUGCCACCGAGACGAGGACGUGGACGUGGACGUGGGGCAGGCCGAGGCCCACGAGUGGAAAGUACUGUGGAAGAAAGAUCCGAGGGAAGUAUCGGAGGUCAACCCCCGCCUCCACCGCCACCUCCACUACAACCUCAAGAUAAGGAAUACAUUAAGACGUUCCGCAAAGAGACCCCCCAAAGUUUGAUGGGUUAGGAGAGCCACAGAAGGCAGAGGCCUGGAUCCCCGAGAUCGAGCGCAUCUUUGAGUUCAUGGUGUGCACGGACAGGGAGCGUCUGGCAUGCGUGACUUAUCAACUGACUGGGCCAGCAGAUCAUUGGUGGGAGACUAGACGAAGAACAGUGGACCCCGCCUGCCGAGAGGCUUUGACUUGGGAUGAGUUCAAGGAAGAGAUAUAUAAUAAGUACGUCCCUAUGAGCUACCGACGAGCCAAGACGGCAGAGUUCCACACUUUGAAGCAGGGAAAUAUGACAGUGUCGGAAUAUGACCGCGCACUUUGCGAGAUGACUCGUUAUGCACCUGAGUUGGUGGACACGGAUGAGAAGAUGGCCGCGAACUUUCACUCUGGCCUUAGGACUGAGAUAAGAGUGGUUGUGGCUAGCUGACAAGGAGUUCCUUACGCCGAGCUUUUGAGUUGCACCUUGGACGUAGAAGAGGCACUUCCUAAGAAUGAGAGAGUGACAAAUCCUACACCACCCACACAACAACAAAAUUAUCGAGACAAGAGGAAGUGGGAAGGAAACCGAGCCCAGUAUGACAACAAGAGACACCAUCCUACUUUCCGCCACCCUCAGAAUUUUAGCCGACAGGUUGUGCCACAACAAAGAGGAAAUCAACCAAGGACACCUUACUGCAAUUGGUGCUCCAAGUUCCACGUUGGGGAGUGUAGAGUCGGAGGCACCCGAUGCUUUGCUUGUGAUGGGAAUGGCCACAUGUUCCGAGAGUGCCCGAACAACAACAAGGGUGGAACGAGGAACGGGCAGGGACAGAGACCACCGCAACAACCACAACCGAUCCGGCAAGUCGCCCCACAACCAGCAAGGGCAUAUGCACUGAAAGGGAAUCCAAGACAGGAGCAACAGGCCAAUAAGGGCAAAGAUAACUU